This 334-nucleotide RNase P RNA is filed under the name Abditibacteriota bacterium. Its description in RNAcentral is "RNase P RNA component class A". It matches the Rfam family "Bacterial RNase P class A". From Rfam's summary of the family: Ribonuclease P (RNase P) is a ubiquitous endoribonuclease, found in archaea, bacteria and eukarya as well as chloroplasts and mitochondria. Its best characterised activity is the generation of mature 5'-ends of tRNAs by cleaving the 5'-leader elements of precursor-tRNAs. Cellular RNase Ps are ribonucleoproteins. The record is from RNAcentral. Lineage: Bacteria; Pseudomonadati; Abditibacteriota.
AUAGCAGGCCGGGCAAUCGCACUAUACGUGAGGAAAGUCCGGGCUUCAGAGGGCAGGAUGACUGCUAACAGCAGCCGGCAGCAAUGCCAGGGAAAGUGCCACAGAAAAGAAAACUCCGGUCUUCAGGAAAAGCUGAAACGGCGGUGUAAAAGACCACCGGUUCCGCCGAGAGGCGGAAGCCUGGUAAACCCCAUCCGAAGCAAGGUCAAAUAGGAAAGCUGCAUCCGGUGGCCCGCCGGAGCUUUCGGGUAGUACCGCUGGAGGCCGGCAGCAAUGCCGGUCCGAGACAGAUGAUUGCCUAUUACAGAACCCGGCUUACAGGCCUGCUAUCUCU